CUAUGCGCCUUGCCAGCCCGCUCAGGUGUGCCAGCAGCCGCGGUAAUACGUAGGGAGCAAGCGUUGUCCGGAAUUACUGGGCGUAAAGGGCGCGUAGGUGGGCGCUUAAGUCAGGUGUGAAAACUCCAGGCUCAACCUGGAGACUGCACUUGAAACUGGGUGUCUUGAGGGCAGGAGAGGAAAGUGGAAUUCCUAGUGUAGCGGUGAAAUGCGUAGAUAUUAGGAGGAACACCAGUGGCGAAGGCGACUUUCUGGACUGUACCUGACGCUGAGCGCGAAAGCGUGGUAGCGAACGGG
Molecule: ribosomal RNA, 297 nt
Filed under: uncultured bacterium
Lineage: Bacteria
Description: partial 16S ribosomal RNA
Rfam family: Bacterial small subunit ribosomal RNA
Source: RNAcentral